RNAcentral lists this unclassified non-coding RNA (552 nucleotides) under Hevea brasiliensis (rubber tree). The record is from RNAcentral. Lineage: Eukaryota; Viridiplantae; Streptophyta; Magnoliopsida; Malpighiales; Euphorbiaceae.
GGCAGAAUUCAGGGAUCGGGUCGGGCUUCUCCUACCGGGCCGGCAACAGGAGUUGAUCACUAGAGUGGCCCAUGCCUCAAGAGGGCCCACCAUCCUAGUACUCAUGUGUGGCGGUCCUGUUGAUGUCACCUUCGCGCAAAACGACCCCAAGAUAUCUGCCAUCCUCUGGGUUGGGUACCCCGGUCAGGCCGGGGGUGCUGCCAUCGCUGACGUUAUAUUUGGUGCAUUCAAUCCGGGUGGCAAGCUACCUGUUACAUGGUACCCCCAAGACUACACUCGAAAAGUAUCCAUGACCGACAUGGCGAUGCGAGCUAAUCCGGCCCGUGGGUACCCAGGCCGGACCUACCGGUUCUACACUGGCCCAGUCGUGUACCCCUUCGGGCACGGACUUAGCUACACCCGCUUCACUCAAUCCCUCGGUCACGCUCCCGUUGAGCUCUCUAUCCCGCUCGAUGGUCGUCGGGUUGUUAACUCCACGUUGUUGGGACGAGCGGUUAGGGUCACCCAUACAAAGUGUGACAGCCUAUCCCUACCACUCCACGUGGACGUCAC